CAAAGGAAGCAAAGGAACAACGAAAAUUGAGGGAUGAUGAGAAAAAAGAAAUGAAGGGAAGGAAGAAUGAAACAAUAAAGGAGAACUAUAGGAAGAAAGGAAGGAAAGAAGGAGAAAAUAGUCUUCUAACACUUAUAAAGAUAGGUUAUCAGUGGAUGCCUCACCUUAGAAAAGUCCCGUAAAACUGAGGAAGAUUGUGGGAGGUAUCCUUGGGGGUCAUCUAGACCAGCACUCCAGCCUGCCCCAAAUCUACAGAUCAAAAAAGCAAAGUCCAGAGAAGUAACGUCUCAAGGUCACAUAAGUCAGUCCCUAUCAACAUCAGCACUAAAAUCAAGGCUUCCUAAAACCAGUCGGAUCAUUGUUCCAUUACAGCAUAUGGCUUUUCUUCUGGAAAAAUGUCCAACUGUAGCAGACAGAAAGGAAGCCAAGAGAGGGUGUUUACAGCAAGGAGGGGCUAUGAAAUAUCUUCACUCCAGGUUCUUUACGAGCUGCAGUGUAUCAUUUUUAUCAGUAAUUGGAAGCAUGCUGCAUGUUUGACUCUGUGGACUCCUGCUUUACACAACAGAACAUUCCGAUGGUGUGCAUGUGCCAUACCCUGCCGUAACAAAUCUCAGCUGGUCCUCUGCUGUCCUCUGGGGAGAAUGCAUUUGAACUCAUCUCAAAGAGCUGGUUUUCUACCCUGGAGGUCUCCGAUGGCUACUGCGAGAAGAAAGCCAUGUCCCGAAAGCAGUGAUACAGAUUGGCAGCCACUGCAGAGAUGCAGAAUGUCGAAGAGUGUGUGUGUUGGAAUUCCUGGACAGACACUGCUCUGAAAGAAAAACCCUCUGGUUUUGGAAGUCUGGUUGGGCAAGGCAGGCGGAGGUCAUGGAGGGGCCGGCGUGAUGGAAUCCUCGGUGCAGCUGACUGCGCAGCCCGACACUGGCGUGGACACUGGGAUGCGUCAUGCAACAUCCAACCAGAGCACACUCACGAGGACAAACAUGGGCCCACCUAUUUACCAUCAGAAAAACAAAAUCACGCUCUUUCACUUUGAAAGAAGGGGGAAACUGGAAAGUUAUUAUUUGAAAUAAAAU
This 1073-nucleotide long non-coding RNA is filed under the name Pan troglodytes (chimpanzee). Its description in RNAcentral is "long non-coding RNA NONPTRT007611". The record is from RNAcentral. Lineage: Eukaryota; Metazoa; Chordata; Mammalia; Primates; Hominidae.